RNAcentral lists this long non-coding RNA (256 nucleotides) under Callithrix jacchus (white-tufted-ear marmoset). RNAcentral's name for it is "lncRNA (ENSCJAG00000074114.1)". Lineage: Eukaryota; Metazoa; Chordata; Mammalia; Primates; Cebidae. The record is from RNAcentral.
CCUGUGGGACUAUAAGGAGACAAAGCCAACUAGAGUGGAGGACUCUACCUGGAAAGUAAUGGGAAAUAACAAAGAAAAGCAGGGUGGGGCCAAAAGAUGAAAAUCUGGAAUAAUCCAGGCUAUCUCAGGUAGGAUGAGGGCAGUUGUAAAGGGAAGGAAUUCGGGAGCCCUUCGUACCAUGACACUUUUGGAAGAAUGCUUUCAGUCUUUCGACCCCCAAAAUCACUCUAAAGGUAAAGAGAUACAAUUACUCUGA